UCCCUAGAUGUUCUGGGCCGCACGCGCGCUACACUGAACAGUUCAACAAGUCUUAACCUUGGCCGAUAGGUCUGGGUAAUCUUUGAACGCUGUUCGUGAUUGGGAUAGACCUUUGCAAUUAUGGGUCUUCAACGAGGAAUUCCUAGUAAACGCAAGUCAUCAGCUUGCAUUGAUUACGUCCCUGCCCUUUGUACACACCGCCCGUCGCACCUACCGAUUGAAUGGUCCGGUGAAAUCUCGGGACGGCGGCUUGGUCGCUUGCGUCCGACUGCUGAAACUUGAUUAAACCAUAUCAUUUAGAGGAAGGUGAAGUCGUAACA
This 320-nucleotide ribosomal RNA is filed under the name uncultured eukaryote. RNAcentral's name for it is "partial 18S ribosomal RNA". It matches the Rfam family "Eukaryotic small subunit ribosomal RNA", at positions 1470 to 1796 of the family's 1831-position model. The record is from RNAcentral.